CGUUCCCGGGCCUUGUACACACCGCCCGUCACACCAUGGGAGUGGGUUGUACCGGAAGUAGGUAGUUUAACCUUAGGGAGAACGCUUACCACGGUAUGAUUCAUGACUGGGGUG
Molecule: ribosomal RNA, 114 nt
Filed under: uncultured bacterium
Lineage: Bacteria
Description: partial 16S ribosomal RNA
Rfam family: Bacterial small subunit ribosomal RNA
Source: RNAcentral